Molecule: ribosomal RNA, 515 nt
Filed under: Diplocentrus rectimanus
Lineage: Eukaryota; Metazoa; Arthropoda; Arachnida; Scorpiones; Diplocentridae
Also listed under: 1 other name
Description: eukaryotic LSU rRNA
Rfam family: Eukaryotic large subunit ribosomal RNA
Source: RNAcentral
CCAAGGAGUCUAACAUGUGCGCGAGUCGUCGGGUCUUGAACAGGCCUGCAGGCACAAUGAAAGUGAAGGGCGACCUCGUUGUCGUCUGCGUUGGGAUCCCCGGUCCGCAGUGUCCGGGGCGCACCAACGGCCCGUCCCUUCUGCCACGUCAGUGGGACGGAGCGAGAGCGUACACGUUGGGACCCGAAAGAUGGUGAACUAUGCCUGGGCAGGACGAGGCCAGAGGAAACUCUGGUGGAGGUCCGCAGCGAUUCUGACGUGCAAAUCGAUCGUCAGACCUGGGUAUAGGGGCGAAAGACUAAUCGAACCAUCUAGUAGCUGGUUCCCUCCGAAGUUUCCCUCAGGAUAGCUGGCGCUCGAAGGGAGUCAGUCUCAUCCGGUAAAGCGAAUGAUUAGAGGCCUUGGGGCCGAAACGACCUCAACCUAUUCUCAAACUUUCAAUGGGUGAGAAGUCCGGUUUACAUGACUGAAGCCCGGACAAUUCUCAGGAUGUGAGUGCCCAGUGGGCCACUUUU